AACCAUCAGGACACUGUGGUUUGUGGGGGCAGGAGGUGGAAGGGGAGCCUCGAUUUGCAAUGGUAAUUUUCUCUCCCCUUCCAUCCUGGCAGGCUUCAGAGAACUUUACCAG
This 112-nucleotide microRNA precursor is filed under the name Panthera pardus (leopard). RNAcentral describes it as "miRNA (ENSPPRG00000022315.1)". The record is from RNAcentral. Lineage: Eukaryota; Metazoa; Chordata; Mammalia; Carnivora; Felidae.